RNAcentral lists this ribosomal RNA (491 nucleotides) under uncultured bacterium. RNAcentral's name for it is "partial 16S ribosomal RNA". It matches the Rfam family "Bacterial small subunit ribosomal RNA", at positions 30 to 506 of the family's 1533-position model. The record is from RNAcentral.
AGUGAACGCUGGCGGUAGGCCUAACACAUGCAAGUCGAACGGCAGCACAGUAAGCGCUUGCUCUUACGGGUGGCGAGUGGCGGACGGGUGAGUAUUACAUCGGAAUCUACUUUUUCGUUGGGGAUAACGUAGGGAAACUUACGCUAAUACCGCAUACGACCUCCGGGUGAAAGCAGGGGAUCUUCGGACCUUGCGCGAUUGAAUUAGCCGAUGUCGGAUUCGCUCGUUGGCGGGUUAAAGGCCCACCAAGGCGACGCUCCGUAGCUGGUCUGAGAGGAAGAUCAGGAACAGGGGAAAGAGGAAAAGGAGCAGAAUCGGAAGGGAGGCAGGAGUGGGGAAGAUUGGAGAAGGGGCGGAAGGGUGAAUCAGACAAAGGGCGUGAGUGAAGAAGGGCUUCGGGUUGUAAAGCACUUUUGUUGGGAAAGAAAAGCAGCAGGUUGAUACGCAGCUGUACUGAGGGUACCGAAAGAAUAAGCACCGGCUAACUUCGU